GGAAUCUUGGACAAUGGGGGCAACCCUGAUCCAGCGACGCCGCGUGGGUGGUGAAGGCCUUCGGGUUGUAAAUCCCUUUUCCCGGGGACGAUGAUGACGGUACCCGGGGAAUAAGCACCGGCUAACUCCGUGCCAGCAGCCGUGGUAAGACGGAGGGUGCUAGCGUUGUUCGGAAUGACUGGGCGUAAAGGGCGCGUAGGCGGCUUGGCAAGUCGGGUGUGAAAGCCCGGGGCUCAACCCCGGAACUGCAUCCGAGACUUUCAGGCUCGAGACCGGGAGAGGAGGGUGGAAUACCCAGUGUAGAGGUGAAAUUCGUAGAUAUUGGGUGGAACACCAGUGGCGAAAGCGGCUCUCUGGCCCGGAUCUGACGCUGAGGCGCGAAAGCGUGGGGAGCAAAC
This 398-nucleotide ribosomal RNA is filed under the name uncultured bacterium. RNAcentral's name for it is "bacterial SSU rRNA". It matches the Rfam family "Bacterial small subunit ribosomal RNA", at positions 358 to 773 of the family's 1533-position model. The record is from RNAcentral.